RNAcentral lists this unclassified non-coding RNA (200 nucleotides) under soil metagenome. Its description in RNAcentral is "partial contains internal transcribed spacer 2 and large subunit ribosomal RNA". The record is from RNAcentral.
GAGUGGUUGGAUGUGGGGGGUUUGCUGGCCUCUUGAAAGGUUUUAGCUCUCCUGAAAUGCAUUAGCGGAACAACCCUGUUCAUUGGCGUGAUAACUAUCGACGCUAUUGAAUGUGAAGGGCAGUUUGGCUUUCUAACAGUCCUUGGACAGCUCAUCAUUAAUGUGACCUCAAAUCAGGUAGGACUACCCGCUGAACUUAA